CAAAAUCCUUACAUGCAAAUGCCAUCAAAAGUACUUUUGCAAGGCUUGUAAUGAGGCUGGGCUAACAAGAAGAAUUGGUUUUUCUGGAAUGCAAGAGAGCUAUCAUAGUAUUCAACAUUUAAGCACAACUCUCUUCCUCACCAAUCUCACUCAUUCCCAACUUUUUCCCUUUUCUUUUGCAUUGAGCCCAUCUUCAUGCUUUUCUUCUUUUCUUUUCUUUUUANCAUGCAUUUUUCUUUCUCAACCUUUAAGCUCAAUGCUUUACAAUUGUUUUUCAAUUUUCCCCCAUGCAACUCCAAACUUGAACCUUUUCAUCACAUACAAUUAAGCUCAU
RNAcentral lists this long non-coding RNA (334 nucleotides) under Vigna radiata. RNAcentral's name for it is "long non-coding RNA (VRAD_LNC017271)". Lineage: Eukaryota; Viridiplantae; Streptophyta; Magnoliopsida; Fabales; Fabaceae. The record is from RNAcentral.